GGACGGGUGAGUAACAUUUAGGAAUCUGCCUAGUAGUGGGGGAUAGCUCGGGGAAACUCGAAUUAAUACCGCAUACGACCUACGGGUGAAAGGGGGCGCAAGCUCUUGCUAUUAGAUGAGCCUAAAUCAGAUUAGCUAGUUGGUGGGGUAAAGGCCCACCAAGGCGACGAUCUGUAACUGGUCUGAGAGGAUGAUCAGUCACACCGGAACUGAGACACGGUCCGGACUCCUACGGGAGGCAGCAGUGGGGAAUAUUGGACAAUGGGGGCAACCCUGAUCCAGCCAUGCCGCGUGUGUGAAGAAGGCCUUUUGGUUGUAAAGCACUUUAAGCAGGGAGGAGAGGCUAAUGGUUAAUACCCAUUAGAUUAGACGUUACCUGCAGAAUAAGCACCGGCUAACUCUGUGCCAGCAGCCGCGGUAAUACAGAGGGUGCGAGCGUUAAUCGGAAUUACUGGGCGUAAAGCGAGUGUAGGUGGCUCAUUAAGUCACAUGUGAAAUCCCCGGGCUUAACCUGGGAACUGCAUGUGAUACUGGUGGUGCUAGAAUAUGUGAGAGGGAAGUAGAAUUCCAGGUGUAGCGGUGAAAUGCGUAGAGAUCUGGAGGAAUACCGAUGGCGAAGGCAGCUUCCUGGCAUAAUAUUGACACUGAGAUUCGAAAGCGUGGGUAGCAAACAGGAUUAGAUACCCUGGUAGUCCACGCCGUAAACGAUGUCUACUAGCCGUUGGGGUCCUUGAGACUUUAGUGGCGCAGUUAACGCG
This 758-nucleotide ribosomal RNA is filed under the name Salmonella enterica subsp. enterica serovar Enteritidis. RNAcentral's name for it is "bacterial SSU rRNA". It matches the Rfam family "Bacterial small subunit ribosomal RNA", at positions 100 to 859 of the family's 1533-position model. Lineage: Bacteria; Pseudomonadati; Pseudomonadota; Gammaproteobacteria; Enterobacterales; Enterobacteriaceae. The record is from RNAcentral.